AUGGAAUGUGAGUGCUGCCAAAUUUAUCAGGUUACCCCUACCCCUCAUGUCAUUUCCACACUAGAAGGGAGGGCUUCAUUCAGAGGGAGCUGCCUUUUUACUUGCAUACUUAUAAGAGUCAUCCUGAUAAUGUCAUCUUUAGGUCAUUGUCUUUACAUAGCUUUGGGAAUGCAAACUGGUCAAGCCACUAUGGAAAUCAGUCUGGAGAUUCCUCAGAAACCUGAAUAUAACCCUACCAUUCGACCCAGCCAUCCCACUCCUUGGAAUUUACCCAAAGGAGUUUAAAUUGAUAAACAAAAAAGCGGUCUGCACCCUAAUGUUUAUUGCAGCACAAUUCACAAUAGCCAAGACCUGGAACCAACCUAAAUGCCCAUCAACGGUAGACUGGAUAAAGAAAUUAUGGGAUAUGUAUUCUUUAGAGUACUAUACCGCAGUAAGAAACAACGAAAUCCAGUCAUUUGCAACAAAAUGGAGGAAUCUGGAACACAUCAUGCUGAGUGAAGUAAGCCAGUCCCAAAGGGACAAAUACCAUAUGUUCUCCCUGAUCGGUGACAACUGACUCAACACCAAAAAGGAAACCUCCUGAAGUGAAAUGGACACUAUGAGAAAUGGUGACUUGAUCAGCAUAGCUCUGACUGCUAAUGGACAACUUAAUACAUUAUCCCUCAUAGUAUUUUUUUUUGUCUGUUCUACUUAAUAUGACUGGUUUAAUUCUGUAAUUAUCACACAGUUAUUCUUAAGUGUUGAAAAUUAACCGAAAUGUGAUCCCUGUUAAACAUAAGAGUGGGAAUAAGAGAGGGAAGAGAUGUAUAAUUUGGGACAUGCUCGGGCUGACUUGCCCCAAUUGGUAGAGUUGGAAACAUACCAGGGGAUUCCAAUUCAAUCCCAUCAAGGUGGCAUGUGCCAAUGCCAUCUCACUACUCCAAGUGAUCAAUUUCAGUUCACAAUUGAUCAUAAUGAAAGGACUAAGAGUCAAAGGGAGCACAUAAACAAGUCUAGUAUCUGCUAACACCAACUGAUAGAAUAAAUAAAGGGGAGAGUGAUCCA
This 1047-nucleotide long non-coding RNA is filed under the name Oryctolagus cuniculus (rabbit). RNAcentral's name for it is "lncRNA (ENSOCUG00000035243.1)". Lineage: Eukaryota; Metazoa; Chordata; Mammalia; Lagomorpha; Leporidae. The record is from RNAcentral.